Cavia porcellus (domestic guinea pig) is the source of this 3758-nucleotide long non-coding RNA. RefSeq lists it as uncharacterized. The transcript is spliced from 3 exons. The record is from RefSeq and is a predicted model, not a curated record. Lineage: Eukaryota; Metazoa; Chordata; Mammalia; Rodentia; Caviidae.
CCUCUUCUUCCUCCUCCUCCUCUUCUUCCUCUUCUUCCUCCUCCGCCUCCUCCUCCUCGGCUGGCUCCGCUUUCUCGGAGAAGCAGUCCGGAUCACCGGCUUCUCGCUUCUCUCCGUCAGCUGCCCCAGAGUCCUUGCCCUCUGAGGAUUUGGUAGGACUGGAAGCCAGAGGCCCCAGGGGGACUGAGGGUCAUUCGAUGGUCGUGUACCGCGUGGGUCACAAACGAACGGACGUACCCGAAGGAGAGUUUGCACAAGAAACACAUCAGGAUGGGCUUCCUCUUGCCGUAGAGCACAAAGCCAUCGAAUUUGGACAGGUCCACAUUGUUGGGAACAUCUUUGGAUACACAGGAGCUUUUGGCAGAACCGUCGCUGUUCAGCAGGUGUCAAGAAAUGAUACUGUGACUACUUGUGGGAGACAGACAACUCUGUGAAGGUGACACCAAGGGCCACUUAUUCACAGCAGGAAAUCACCUGUUAAGAUACAGGUGGAAAAGAAGGACCCCACUUCUGGAUGCACACUGCCUGCCCUGGACAUCCUUUCCACACACGCUGGCCAUGAUGACAGCAGAAUCUUGGACAACUUUGCUAAUAAGCGAAGUGUGGUUCACAGACUAACAGCCUUGUCCUCGCCACAGAGCUUGUGAGAAAUGCACAUUCCCAGCAACUCUCCACUCCAUCACAAUCUGCCUUUCCACACCAGCCCCUGGUAACUGGAAUUACAGCCUGAGACACUCUCUGCUUCCCAUCUUCACCAAGUGGCCAGCUAGUCUGUGUUGGCACCUGUAUCCCUAGGUAACCAGGGAAAGAUGACUUCAUCCCUACCCCGAGCGGCCCCCGGGAGGUGUGGGGAUAACGAUGGACGGGGGACUGGAGCGGUGACAUGCAGAAAUCUCUUCAUCCUGCCUCAUCCUGUAGCUCAAGGACCUCAGGGCAUCCACCACUCUCCCACCCAGCCGGCGGUUGAGCUCACUCUGUUUAUCAGCCAGUCAAUAAGAAAAAGGUAGUUCUUACUUGAAGAGGCAGAAGUCAACUUGGCAGGUCGAUCAGCACUCUGUCUGUAAACACGGUUUCCCGUAAAAUCAAUGAUCUUCAGUUACAGAGGGCAGCCUGGGAACCGAGUGGGUCCCCGCGCUUUCACAGGCAGCCCUCCAGCUGGUAUUCACGCACCUCUCCCAGCCCCCAGCCGCAUGCCUGGUCUCUAUCCCUCAAACACCCUGGACCCCUCCUGCAACCUGCAUGCCUUCCGCUGCUUACACCCACGAACUCCCUUCAACGUCCUGGUGUACAACUUGCAACCUCCACUAUUUUUCUCCAGCAUGCUAUUAUUUUAAGACUUCAGCUAGAUUUUAAUAGAGCACAUCUCACCAAUGACAAAGUUCAAGUGAUGAUACAAGAGUGAUCUUACUAGCAUUCAUUCUUGGGGCUGGGGAUUUAGCUCAGCGGCAUAAGCACCUGCCUUGCAAAUAUGUGGUCGUUAAGUUUGAUCCCAGGUAUAGAUUUAAAAAAAAAAAAAAAGUUUGGUACUAACAUUCAUUCCUGUGCAUGCUGUCCUUAGAAUUAAGCAGUCAUGUACAAAAAAAUUCUGUCACUAUCAAGAACCUCCUAUCCAUUUUCAUCUUCCAAGUUAGAGUCUCACUCCUUUUAGGCCAUUGAAUCUUUAUAAAUAUCAGCCUCUACUUUUCAAAUAUCGUUUAGAAGGGUAAAAAUCCGCCAUGUUAGUUAGGCAUAGUGGCACACAUCUGUAAUCUUAAUACUUGGGAGGCUGAGUCGGGAGGAUCUCGAGUUCAAGACCUAUCUGGGCUACAUUGGGAAACCCUCAAAACACACACACACACAAAGCUUCCCUCUGUUGUCCUGUGGGGCCCCAUCAGGAAAGGCUUGUCUCCCCGUGUAAACUAAACAGAUGUGCUACAAAAGUUCAGUGGUAUUCCUUGAAGGAGACAGGGCUGGGUAAAACCCAACAGAUCCGGGAAGGAUGGGGGGGGUGCAGUUAUGAGGAAGGGAAGGGGAGGGGCUCCUGCUGCUGCUCCAGCUCCCAGAGAGUUAAACAUGAACAGUCGCACUGUGUAAUUUUAAACUGUUAAUUAGCACAGGGUUAAUUAGGCGGUCCUUUCACAAGGGGCUGUUUGGCAGAAAACCAAGAAAGGAAACAAAGGGGAAGGAAAGAAAAACAAAGAGAGAAUAGAGACAGCCAGAGAAACUGCUGCCUCCGUGAAUAACCCAGAGGGCAGGCAUCAUGAGAUGUCAGCCAGCAGGCAGGGCCGCCCGCUCUCAGGGUGCUCCCGCCACCCCUGGGAGAAGCAACAAGCGCCUUCUCACUGCGGCUCUCAGGCAGCGCUGGAGGCCCUUUGACUCAGCACAUUUCUCCAUUCCAGGAAUUCACCCCUAGGAAGCAACCAGACGAUGCAUGGAGAUAAAAGAUCAUUCAUCACAAAAUUUAUAACAGGAAAAAAAAACUUAGAAAUCAUUGGGCCAGAAACAGACUUGGAACAACUCAUAGUACAUACAGGUCUACCCAAAUGCUUCCCUUAUGGAAAUGAUUUACAGGCAUGGGGAGAUGACCAGAUUUCAAAUGAAUAUGAAGCACAUAUAGGCACAUACAUAAGACUUUUAGGUUAAAAUUUUUAUGAUGGUAAUUUCUAGGAGCUCAGGCUACAGGGGCCAUCUUGUUCCCUCCAAAGCUUUUUAAAGUUGAAGGCUUCAAUUUCCAGAUGCCAUCGAUUAAUGAACCAGGCACUGCAUAACGGCAGAUGGGUGCAACUUCACUUUGAACCUCAUAACCACUCUAGGAGGUAGGUAUUAUUUUUAUCCCCAUUUUAAAGAUGGGAAAACUGAGGUUGCAACAUUCUAAAUAACAAAGACAGGCAGUGUGGCUUUGGAGGCUGUGCUCUUAGCCACUCCACUAGGCUUUUCUUUAACGUCUAUUUUGCAAAGAAAACAAUAGACUACCCAACAUUUGCAUUCAACCCCCAUCCUACCCAGUGUUAGGGAUUAAACCAUGAAGCUACCAGCCUCCAUAUUCAAUCUCUCUGCACCCAGGAGCUGUCCUAAGAUCAAGGGCUACCAGAAUGUUAGUGUAAAAGAAUCCUAUACCCUGUCCUACCCCCCCCCCACAAAUGCCCUUUCCUUUCUUGGGAGCAACACUGGGGGACAGUUCAAAGUGGUCUUCUUCACUUAAAUGUCUUCAGCGAGGUGGAAGCAGACAAAGCAGGUAGGGGAAGCUGUAGCAACAAACUACAAAAUGGGUCCUACAUCGUGGAUUUAAAAAAAAAGGAAGAAAGGCAAAUUCUAGAAACUAAAGAUCAGGAAAUGCAUUCACUCAUUCAUUUGAUAGAGGAUGUGCUGUGAACCUACUAUGUGUCAGCAGCUAGCGACUACAGUGGUAACCAGGGCACAUCUUACAGCCUGUGGGCAAACGUGUGUAUCAAUAUUAAGUGGCAAAGACACCCACAAGUAAUGCAAAGUCAGAAAGGGAGACAGUGAUUGUGUAGACACAUCCUUGGGGGUAAGUAAUGUUAUUAAAGGAAUAUACUCAGAUUAUAUACUGUGAGUAUUCUCUAAGUUUAGAACAGAUGUGGCCACUGAUGGGAGAGUGUUUUAGUGGAAUGAUCCUGAGGAACUAUAGCUCCAUGAAGAAAACCCACAUAAAAUAAAAGGAAAAAUAGUAAAGACUUUUUUUUUAAAGAAAAUUAAAGUGUGCCAAAAUUUGUCAUUUCUUUAUAUUGUGAAUAGGAAAUUUGUUUCAAAUAAAGAAG